UCCGAUAUAGUGUAGGGGUUGUAAGUAACAUUCAUCACAUUUCAAAUGUAUGUCCACUAACGUUCACAAGAACAUACUCCGCUUUCAAGAAGAGCCGGAGAGCCCCGGGUUCGAUUCCCGGUAUCGGAA
Molecule: non-coding RNA, 129 nt
Organism: Hyaloscypha hepaticicola
Lineage: Eukaryota; Fungi; Ascomycota; Leotiomycetes; Helotiales; Hyaloscyphaceae
Source: the annotation of a GenBank genome assembly